This 253-nucleotide ribosomal RNA is filed under the name uncultured bacterium. RNAcentral's name for it is "partial 16S ribosomal RNA". It matches the Rfam family "Bacterial small subunit ribosomal RNA", at positions 524 to 776 of the family's 1533-position model. The record is from RNAcentral.
UACAGAGGGUGCGAGCGUUGUCCGGAAUCACUGGGCGUAAAGGGCGCGUAGGCGGCUUGAUAAGCGUGCGGUGAAAGCCCGGGGCUCAACCCCGGGUCGGCCGUGCGAACUGUCGAGCUGGAGCACUGUAGAGGCAGGUGGAAUUCCGGGUGUAGCGGUGGAAUGCGUAGAGAUCCGGAAGAACACCGGUGGCGAAGGCGGCCUGCUGGGCAGUGGCUGACGCUGAGGCGCGACAGCGUGGGGGGCAAACAGG